UACGAAGGGGGCUAGCGUUGUUCGGAAUUACUGGGCGUAAAGCGCACGUAGGCGGGUUUGUAAGUAGGGGGUGAAAUCCCAGGGCUCAACCCUGGAACUGCCUUCUAGACUGCAAGCCUGGAGGUCAGGAGAGGCGAGUGGAAUACCGAGUGUAGAGGUGAAAUUCGUAGAUAUUCGUUGGAACGCCAGUGGCGGAGGCGACUCGCUGGACUGAUACUGACGCUGAUGUGCUAAAGCGUGGGGAGCAAACAGG
Molecule: ribosomal RNA, 253 nt
Filed under: uncultured bacterium
Lineage: Bacteria
Description: partial 16S ribosomal RNA
Rfam family: Bacterial small subunit ribosomal RNA
Source: RNAcentral